Zingiber officinale is the source of this 704-nucleotide long non-coding RNA. RefSeq lists it as uncharacterized. The record is from RefSeq and is a predicted model, not a curated record. Lineage: Eukaryota; Viridiplantae; Streptophyta; Magnoliopsida; Zingiberales; Zingiberaceae. The transcript is spliced from 4 exons.
AGCCCCGAUCAAGGUUUGUUCCUUUUUCUUCUUCUCCGCUCUGCCGUCCCCAAAUCGCCGGUGCCUAGCCUCUGCCCCGACUCCAGCGAUGCCACUGCCGGCACCGAUUUCCCAGCCUCGGCUGCCUUUCCUCUAUGCCCUAGCAUCUCUGCCGAUGCCACUGUCUCUCUUUCUCCCGACGCCGAGCAGCACCGAGCCCUAGGUGCCAACGCCGUCGACGCCUUUUUUCGACCUCUUCUGUGCCACUCCGAGACUCCUUGUCCGAGUUCUCACCGUGCCCUAGCCCCCGCUCAGCAGAUAGCCGGCUGCCAACACUCAAAGCAAUUGUCGAUUUGUAGCCUCUGCCCUAGCCUCUGUUUCCGACGCUGGUAAGGGUUCUGCCGUGGCCACCACUUGGGAUCUGUAUGUCGUCGUCGCCCCUUUGCUCUGGUUUACUGCCUCAGUAGCCCUUGCUGGAAACAACACCGGUGACCUAACUCCUCCGUCCUCUAAUCCAGUGAGCUACUGGAUGAAGCAUCAAGAGUUUGUUGCUGUCUCUGUUUGAUUCCGGCCACCACCCCCUGUCAACAGCUUGACACACCUGAGUAGGAAGGAUUCCAGCAGCAAACGAUCCUACUUCCAACAGUGAUAAAACGGCUGUGAGUUUCAGGAUCUUGACGCGAGACGAGUAUCUUGGAGUCAGAUUUGGAUCACUUUAUUGGAGG